UAUUAUACGGUGUCUGAGCACGAAGAGUUUUGAAUUCUAAGGAAGGACUUAAAUAUAUCCUUUUAAUAA
Molecule: transfer RNA, 69 nt
Filed under: Sinotaia quadrata
Lineage: Eukaryota; Metazoa; Mollusca; Gastropoda; Architaenioglossa; Viviparidae
Description: tRNA-Gln
Source: RNAcentral